AACCCGCCUGCGNGAAGUCGGAAUCGCUAGUAAUCGCGGAUCAGCAUGCCGCGGUGAAUACGUUCCCGGGCCUUGUACACACCGCCCGUCACACCAUGAGAGUCGGGAACACCCGAAGUCCGUAGCCUAACUUUAACGAGGGGGCGCGGCCGAAGGUGGGUUCGAUGAUUGGGGUGAAGUCGUAACAAGGUAAC
This 194-nucleotide ribosomal RNA is filed under the name uncultured bacterium. RNAcentral's name for it is "partial 16S ribosomal RNA". It matches the Rfam family "Bacterial small subunit ribosomal RNA", at positions 1309 to 1500 of the family's 1533-position model. The record is from RNAcentral.